AGAGUUUGAUCAUGGCUCAGAGUGAACGCUGGCGGCGUGCUUAACACAUGCAAGUCGAACGAGAACGGAACAUAGCUUGCUAUGUUUGUCAGCUAAGUGGUGGACGGGUGAGUAAUGUAUAGCUAAUGUGCCCCUUGGAGGGGGAUAACAGUUGGAAACGACUGCUAAUACCCCAUACUCCUUCUAUGUUAAUCAUAGUUGGGAAAUGUUUUUUCGCCAAGGGAUCGGGCUAUAUGGUAUCAGCUAGUUGGUGAGGUAAUGGCUCACCAAGGCAAUGACGCCUAGCUGGUCUGAAAGGAUGAUCAGCCACACUGGAACUGAGACACGGUCCAGACUCCUACGGGAGGCAGCAGUGGGGAAUAUUGCACAAUGGAGGAAACUCUGAUGCAGCAACGCCGCGUGGAGGAUGACGCAUUUCGGUGUGUAAACUCCUUUUAUAUAGGAAGAUAAUGACGGUACUAUAUGAAUAAGCACCGGCUAACUCCGUGCCAGCAGCCGCGGUAAUACGGAGGGUGCAAGCGUUACUCGGAAUCACUGGGCGUAAAGCGCGCGCAGGCGGCCUUGUAAGUUGGAUGUGAAAGCCUACGGCUCAACCGUAGAACUGCAUCCAAAACUACUAGGCUAGAGUGUGGGAGAGGAAGAUGGAAUUAGUUGUGUAGGGGUAAAAUCCGUAGAGAUAACUAGGAAUACCAAAAGCGAAGGCAAUCUUCUGGAACAUUACUGACGCUGAGGCGCGAAAGCGUGGGGAGCAAACAGGAUUAGAUACCCUGGUAGUCCACGCCCUAAACGAUGAAUGUUAGUCGUCGGGUAGCUAGUCUAUUCGGUGAUGCAGCUAACGCAUUAAACAUUCCGCCUGGGGAGUACGGUCGCAAGAUUAAAACUCAAAGGAAUAGACGGGGACCCGCACAAGUGGUGGAGCAUGU
Molecule: ribosomal RNA, 923 nt
Filed under: uncultured Campylobacterota bacterium
Lineage: Bacteria; Pseudomonadati; Campylobacterota
Description: bacterial SSU rRNA
Rfam family: Bacterial small subunit ribosomal RNA
Source: RNAcentral